This is a long non-coding RNA of Tachysurus vachellii, 203 nucleotides long. RefSeq lists it as uncharacterized. Lineage: Eukaryota; Metazoa; Chordata; Actinopteri; Siluriformes; Bagridae. The transcript is spliced from 3 exons. The record is from RefSeq and is a predicted model, not a curated record.
CACCACCGGAUUGCACGCGGAUACAGCACAACUCCUGGGAAAACGUGAAUCUGUUGGAGAGUUGGCUAAAACUACACAAGAAAAACAUGGGUUUCAACCUUUUGUCCAAGUCAGCUCAGGUCCAGAUGCCUCAGAAUGAAGAAUCCCCCAAUGGCAGGCUCACUUGCUCCAGAUGUUCAUCUCCUCCACGGCUGGAUGCUCGC